AUUGAACGCUGGCGGCAUGCUUUACACAUGCAAGUCGAACGGCAGCACGGGAGCAAUCCUGGUGGCGAGUGGCGAACGGGUGAGUAAUGUAUCGGAACGUGCCCAGUCGUGGGGGAUAACGCAGCGAAAGCUGUGCUAAUACCGCAUACGAUCUAAGGAUGAAAGCGGGGGAUCGCAAGACCUCGCGCGAUUGGAGUGGCCGAUAUCAGAUUAGCUAGUUGGUGGGGUAAAGGCUCACCAAGGCGACGAUCUGUAGCUGGUCUGAGAGGACGACCAGCCACACUGGAACUGAGACACGGUCCAGACUCCUACGGGAGGCAGCAGUGGGGAAUUUUGGACAAUGGGCGCAAGCCUGAUCCAGCAAUGCCGCGUGCAGGACGAAGGCCUUCGGGUUGUAAACUGCUUUUGUACGGAGCGAAAAGGUUCUCUCUAAUACAGGGGGCUCAUGACGGUACCGUAAGAAUAAGCACCGGCUAACUACGUGCCAGCCGCCGCAGUAA
Molecule: ribosomal RNA, 500 nt
Filed under: uncultured bacterium
Lineage: Bacteria
Description: partial 16S ribosomal RNA
Rfam family: Bacterial small subunit ribosomal RNA
Source: RNAcentral